RNAcentral lists this long non-coding RNA (661 nucleotides) under Brassica napus (rape). RNAcentral's name for it is "long non-coding RNA (BNAP_LNC017513)". Lineage: Eukaryota; Viridiplantae; Streptophyta; Magnoliopsida; Brassicales; Brassicaceae. The record is from RNAcentral.
UUUUAGUGUAGGAAAGUUGGAUGGCUUGUAGUCAGGGGGAGACUCAUUUUUCUUUCUAGGAAUUUCGGUUAUUGAGCGUGUGUUCAGGGGGAGAAUCAUUUUUCGUUUUGAAAUGUUUUGAAUUCGGUUAUGUAUUCAGUUAUGCAUUAAAACGAUCUUUGAAUCUAUGCUAUGGUUCUAAGUAACUAAUUAGAACUAAUGGUUGUCUAAGGAUUGGGUUUGUUUCUCUGUGUUGUCGUUUUGUCUCAGGUGCUUGGUGAUCAUCGACACUCAAAAAGGGGGAGAUUUUUGAGACUUGAAAUCUGCUGAAGUGUUCAACCGAAACAAUGUUAUCAAGCGUGAACACGGGAGUCAUUUGAAUGUUAAAACAUGACGUGGAUUAUGAAGAUUGAAUCACUCCAAGGAUAAGCAUCAGAUCGGGAGAUUCUAGGAAGUAGAAUGAAAGAUUUGUAGUUAUCGUCUAACAAGAUCAGAUUGCCUAGAUAUAUAAUAGGUGAUGCUGAGUCUUGAUGGAGAUGCGCUUUUUGGAGAGUUAGUAAUUUGUGUGUGAGAGAGAGAUUGUGUUAAUCUAGUUCUCGUAGCUUUAGAAGUUGGCAGCGUUGAUUCACAGGUUGUGAAGUCAAGUAAACCUGAUUAAACAGAUUAGGUAUAAUUUGUUUAA